GAUGAACGCUGGCGGCGUGCCUAAUACAUGCAAGUCGAGCGAACAGACGAGGAGCUUGCUCCUCUGACGUUAGCGGCGGACGGGUGAGUAACACGUGGAUAACCUACCUAUAAGACUGGGAUAACUUCGGGAAACCGGAGCUAAUACCGGAUAAUAUAUUGAACCGCAUGGUUCAAUAGUGAAAGACGGUUUUGCUGUCACUUAUAGAUGGAUCCGCGCCGCAUUAGCUAGUUGGUAAGGUAACGGCUUACCAAGGCGACGAUGCGUAGCCGACCUGAGAGGGGGAUCGGCCACACUAGAACUGAGACACGGUCCAGACUCCUACGGGAGGCAGCAGUAGGGAAUCUUCCGCAAUGGGCGAAAGCCUGACGGAGCAACGCCACGUGAGUGAUGAAGGUCUUCGGAUCGUAAAACUCUGUUAUUAGGGAAGAACAAAUGUGUAAGUAACUAUGCACGUCUUGACGGUACCUAAUCAGAAAGCCACGGCUAACUACGUG
Molecule: ribosomal RNA, 497 nt
Filed under: uncultured bacterium
Lineage: Bacteria
Description: partial 16S ribosomal RNA
Rfam family: Bacterial small subunit ribosomal RNA
Source: RNAcentral